RNAcentral lists this ribosomal RNA (497 nucleotides) under uncultured bacterium. RNAcentral's name for it is "partial 16S ribosomal RNA". It matches the Rfam family "Bacterial small subunit ribosomal RNA", at positions 28 to 507 of the family's 1533-position model. The record is from RNAcentral.
GAUGAACGCUGGCGGCGUGCCUAAUACAUGCAAGUCGAGCGAACGGACGAGAAGCUUGCUUCUCUGAUGUUAGCGGCGGACGGGUGAGUAACACGUGGAUAACCUACCUAUAAGACUGGGAUAACUUCGGGAAACCGGAGCUAAUACCGGAUGAUAUUUUUAACCGCAUGGUUCAAAAGUGAAAGACGGUCUUGCUGUCACUUAUAGAUGGAUCCGCGCUGCAUUAGCUAGUUGGUAAGGUAACGGCUUACCAAGGCAACGAUGAAUAGCCGACCUGAGAGGGUGAUCGGCCACACUGGAACUGAGACACGGUCCAGACUCCUACGGAAGGAAGCAGUAGGGAAUCUUCCGCAAUGGCCGAAAGCCUGACGGAGAAACGCCGCGUGAGUGAUGAAGGUCUUCGGAUCGUAAAACUCUGUUAUUAGGGAAGAACAUAUGUGUAAGUAACUGUGCACAUCUUGACGGUACCUAAUCAGAAAGCCACGGCUAACUACGUG